This 505-nucleotide ribosomal RNA is filed under the name Phytophthora sp. RNAcentral's name for it is "partial large subunit ribosomal RNA". It matches the Rfam family "Eukaryotic large subunit ribosomal RNA", at positions 331 to 670 of the family's 3401-position model. Lineage: Eukaryota; Oomycota; Peronosporomycetes; Peronosporales; Peronosporaceae. The record is from RNAcentral.
AGACCGAUAGCGAACAAGUACCGUGAGGGAAAGAUGAAAAGAACUUUGAAAAGAGAGUUAAAGAGUACCUGAAACUGCUGAAAGGGAACCGAAUCGUUUCCAGUGUCUAUAAUCCGUGGUAUAUUUCAUUGGCGAGUGUGUGCGUGCGUGUGCUGUGGCAGCGGCUUUUUAGGCUGCGCUCGGCGUGUGUGCUGUGUGUGCUUGCUGGUGCCCUGUACUGCGGUGGGACGUCAAGGUCAGUUCGUAUGCUGCGGGAAAUGGCUGCCGAGGAGGUAGGGCUUACGCUUGCGUUUGUCUGUUAUAUCUUGGUGGACGAGUAGUCGCGGUUGGGACUGAGGUGCCUACAACGUGCUUUUGAGUGGGUUUGUGUCUCCGUGUGCGCCGUGUGCGGAUAGCUUGCUAUGCGUGUGUGGUUGUGUGUGGAUUGAUGCGGGCUUUAACUUGGUUGCCGUUCGGGACGUUGACGAAAUGGAGCGAUUCGACCCGUCUUGAAACACGGACCAAG